This 1224-nucleotide ribosomal RNA is filed under the name Escherichia coli. RNAcentral's name for it is "partial 23S ribosomal RNA". It matches the Rfam family "Bacterial large subunit ribosomal RNA", at positions 1 to 1253 of the family's 2925-position model. Lineage: Bacteria; Pseudomonadati; Pseudomonadota; Gammaproteobacteria; Enterobacterales; Enterobacteriaceae. The record is from RNAcentral.
GGGUUGUGAGGUUAAGCGACUAAGCGUACACGGUGGAUGCCCUGGCAGUCAGAGGCGAUGAAGGACGUGCUAAUCUGCGAUAAGCGUCGGUAAGGUGAUAUGAACCGUUAUAACCGGCGAUUUCCGAAUGGGGAAACCCAGUGUGAUUCGUCACACUAUCAUUAACUGAAUCCAUAGGUUAAUGAGGCGAACCGGGGGAACUGAAACAUCUAAGUACCCCGAGGAAAAGAAAUCAACCGAGAUUCCCCCAGUAGCGGCGAGCGAACGGGGAGGAGCCCAGAGCCUGAAUCAGUGUGUGUGUUAGUGGAAGCGUCUGGAAAGGCGCGCGAUACAGGGUGACAGCCCCGUACACAAAAAUGCACAUGCUGUGAGCUCGAUGAGUAGGGCGGGACACGUGGUAUCCUGUCUGAAUAUGGGGGGACCAUCCUCCAAGGCUAAAUACUCCUGACUGACCGAUAGUGAACCAGUACCGUGAGGGAAAGGCGAAAAGAACCCCGGCGAGGGGAGUGAAAAAGAACCUGAAACCGUGUACGUACAAGCAGUGGGAGCACAGAGCAAUCUGUGUGACUGCGUACCUUUUGUAUAAUGGGUCAGCGACUUAUAUUCUGUAGCAAGGUUAACCGAAUAGGGGAGCCGAAGGGAAACCGAGUCUUAACUGGGCGUUAAGUUGCAGGGUAUAGACCCGAAACCCGGUGAUCUAGCCAUGGGCAGGUUGAAGGUUGGGUAACACUAACUGGAGGACCGAACCGACUAAUGUUGAAAAAUUAGCGGAUGACUUGUGGCUGGGGGUGAAAGGCCAAUCAAACCGGGAGAUAGCUGGUUCUCCCCGAAAGCUAUUUAGGUAGCGCCUCGUGAAUUCAUCUCCGGGGGUAGAGCACUGUUUCGGCAAGGGGGUCAUCCCGACUUACCAACCCGAUGCAAACUGCGAAUACCGGAGAAUGUUAUCACGGGAGACACACGGCGGGUGCUAACGUCCGUCGUGAAGAGGGAAACAACCCAGACCGCCAGCUAAGGUCCCAAAGUCAUGGUUAAGUGGGAAACGAUGUGGGAAGGCCCAGACAGCCAGGAUGUUGGCUUAGAAGCAGCCAUCAUUUAAAGAAAGCGUAAUAGCUCACUGGUCGAGUCGGCCUGCGCGGAAGAUGUAACGGGGCUAAACCAUGCACCGAAGCUGCGGCAGCGACGCUUAUGCGUUGUUGGGUAGGGGAGCGUUCUGUAAGCCUGUGA